CCCUAGUAACUGCGAGUGAAGCGGGAAAAGCUCAAAUUUAAAAUCUGGCGGUCUUUGGCUGUCCGAGUUGUAAUCUAGAGAAGUGUUAUCCGCGCUGGACCGUGUACAAGUCUCCUGGAAUGGAGCGUCAUAGAGGGUGAGAAUCCCGUCUUUGACACGGACUGCCAGGGCUUUGUGAUGCGCUCUCAAAGAGUCGAGUUGUUUGGGAAUGCAGCUCAAAAUGGGUGGUAAAUUCCAUCUAAAGCUAAAUAUUGGCGAGAGACCGAUAGCGAACAAGUACCGUGAGGGAAAGAUGAAAAGAACUUUGGAAAGAGAGUUAAACAGUACGUGAAAUUGCUGAAAGGGAAACGCUUGAAGUCAGUCGCGUUGGCCGGGGAUCAACCUUGCUUUUGCUGGGCGUACUUUCCGGUUGACGGGUCAGCAUCAAUUUUGACCGUUGGAUAAAGUCUAGGGGAAUGUGGCAUCUUCGGAUGUGUUAUAGCCCUUGGUCGCAUACAACGAUUGGGAUUGAGGAACUCAGCACGCCGCAAGGCCGGGUAUUUUACCACGUUCGUGCUUAGGAUGCUGGCAUAAUGGCUUUAAUCGACCCGUCUUGAAACACGGACCAAGGAGUCUAACAUGCCUGCGAGUGUUUGGGUGGAAAACCCGAGCGCGUAAUGAAAGUGAAAGUUGAGAUCCCUGUCGUGGGGAGCAUCGACGCCCGGACCAGACCUUUUGUGACGGAUCCGCGGUAGAGCAUGUAUGUUGGGACCCGAAAGAUGGUGAACUAUGCCUGAAUAGGGUGAAGCCAGAGGAAACUCUGGUGGAGGCUCGUAGCGAUUCUGACGUGCAAAUCGAUCGUCAAAUUUGGGUAUAGGGGCGAAAGACUAAUCGAACCAUCUAGUAGCUGG
This 890-nucleotide ribosomal RNA is filed under the name Galerina stylifera. Its description in RNAcentral is "partial large subunit ribosomal RNA". It matches the Rfam family "Eukaryotic large subunit ribosomal RNA", at positions 78 to 954 of the family's 3401-position model. The record is from RNAcentral. RNAcentral also lists the same sequence under 1 other name. Lineage: Eukaryota; Fungi; Basidiomycota; Agaricomycetes; Agaricales; Galerinaceae.